RNAcentral lists this ribosomal RNA (253 nucleotides) under uncultured bacterium. Its description in RNAcentral is "partial 16S ribosomal RNA". It matches the Rfam family "Bacterial small subunit ribosomal RNA", at positions 524 to 776 of the family's 1533-position model. The record is from RNAcentral.
GACAGAGGGUGCAAACGUCGUUCGGAAUUACUGGGCGUAAAGCGAGUGUAGGCGGUCUUCUAAGUCGGAUGUGAAAGCCCCGGGCUCAACCCGGGAAGUGCACUCGAAACUGGAAGGCUAGAGUAUCGGAGAGGUUGGUGGAAUUCUCGGUGUAGAGGUGAAAUUCGUAGAUAUCGAGAGGAACACCGGUGGCGAAGGCGGCCAACUGGACGAAUACUGACGCUGAGACUCGAAAGCGUGGGGAGCAAACAGG